RNAcentral lists this non-coding RNA (28 nucleotides) under Rattus norvegicus (Norway rat). The record is from RNAcentral. Lineage: Eukaryota; Metazoa; Chordata; Mammalia; Rodentia; Muridae.
UGGGCAAACAUGGAUCACAGCUUUCUUU